RNAcentral lists this ribosomal RNA (301 nucleotides) under uncultured bacterium. RNAcentral describes it as "partial 16S ribosomal RNA". It matches the Rfam family "Bacterial small subunit ribosomal RNA", at positions 509 to 807 of the family's 1533-position model. The record is from RNAcentral.
CAGCCGCCACGGUAAUACGAAGGGGGCUAGCGUUGUACGGAUUUACUGGGCGUAAAGGGCGCGUAGGCGGACUGAUAAGUCAGGGGUGAAAUCCCAAGGCUCAACCUUGGAACUGCUUUUGAUACUGUUUGUCUUGAGUUCGAGAGAGGUAAGUGGAACUGCGAGUGUAGAGGUGAAAUUCGUAGAUAUUCGCAAGAACACCAGUGGCGAAAGCGGCUUACUGGCUCGAAACUGACGCUGAGGCGCGAAAGCGUGGGGAGCAAACAGGAUUAGAUACCCGGGUAGUCCCUGUCUCUUAUAC